RNAcentral lists this ribosomal RNA (452 nucleotides) under uncultured Sphingomonadaceae bacterium. Its description in RNAcentral is "bacterial SSU rRNA". It matches the Rfam family "Bacterial small subunit ribosomal RNA", at positions 91 to 578 of the family's 1533-position model. The record is from RNAcentral. Lineage: Bacteria; Pseudomonadati; Pseudomonadota; Alphaproteobacteria; Sphingomonadales; Sphingomonadaceae.
CUUAGUGGCGCACGGGUGCGUAACGCGUGGGAAUCUGCCCUUAGGUACGGAAUAACAGUGAGAAAUUACUGCUAAUACCGUAUGAUGUCGCGAGACCAAAGAUUUAUCGCCUAGGGAUGAGCCCGCGUUGGAUUAGCUAGUUGGUGGGGUAAAAGCCUACCAAGGCGACGAUCCAUAGCUGGUCUGAGAGGAUGAUCAGCCACACUGGGACUGAGACACGGCCCAGACUCCUACGGGAGGCAGCAGUGGGGAAUAUUGGACAAUGGGCGAAAGCCUGAUCCAGCAAUGCCGCGUGAGUGAAGAAGGCCUUAGGGUUGUAAAGCUCUUUUACCCGGGAAGAUAAUGACUGUACCGGGAGAAUAAGCCCCGGCUAACUCCGUGCCAGCAGCCGCGGUAAUACGGAGGGGGCUAGCGUUGUUCGGAAUUACUGGGCGUAAAGCGUUCGUAGGCGG